RNAcentral lists this ribosomal RNA (539 nucleotides) under Anodonta anatina. Its description in RNAcentral is "partial 12S ribosomal RNA". Lineage: Eukaryota; Metazoa; Mollusca; Bivalvia; Unionida; Unionidae. The record is from RNAcentral.
AACUUUUAGUGUAAAAAACAAAUUAUAACUAAACCCAAUCUAGCCAUAAAUAAACUAUUCCAACAAACCAUAACCUCAGAACUCGGAUUAGAUACCCGACUACUGUAUGGCCCAACACAUAAAAGAAUACUACGAGCGAAAGCUUAAAACUCAAACAAUGUGGCGGUGCUUUACUCCUCAUCAGGGGAUCCUGUGGCUUAAUUCGAUAAUCCACGAAGAUCUUAGCUACUCUUGUUUACAGCUUGUGUAUGGCCGUUUAUGCUUGCUCAUAGAAGAAAAAAAAGGAAGCAAUAGGACUAAUUACCCAAAAAUUCAGGUGACAUACAGCCAAUGAGUAGCAGAUCCAUGGGAUACAAAUAAACAUACUACCAGAUUUUAAAACCUAAAACUUUAAUGAAGGAGGACUUGAAAGUAAGAUUUAUCCUUAUAUAAUAUAGAUCUGGACAAGAACUAAAGCGCGCACAAAUCGCCCGUCACUCCGACAAUAAAGUCGGAUAAGUCGUAACAUAGUAGGGGUAAUGGAAAUUGCCCCUAUCACA